This 205-nucleotide ribosomal RNA is filed under the name uncultured bacterium. RNAcentral describes it as "partial 16S ribosomal RNA". It matches the Rfam family "Bacterial small subunit ribosomal RNA", at positions 570 to 774 of the family's 1533-position model. The record is from RNAcentral.
CGUAGGCGGCUUUAUAAGUCAGAUGUGAAAUCCCACGGCUCAACUGUGGAAGUGCAUUUGAAACUGUGAGGCUUGAGUAUCGGAGGGGAGUGUGGAAUUCCCGGUGUAGAGGUGAAAUUCGUAGGGAUCGGGAGGAACACCGGUGGCGAAGGCGACACUCUGGACGAAUACUGACGCUGAGGCGCGAAAGCGUGGGGAGCAAACA